Molecule: ribosomal RNA, 200 nt
Filed under: uncultured bacterium
Lineage: Bacteria
Description: partial 16S ribosomal RNA
Rfam family: Bacterial small subunit ribosomal RNA
Source: RNAcentral
UACGGAGGGUGCAAGCGUUAAUCGGAAUUACUGGGCGUAAAGCGCACGUAGGUGGAUUGUUAAGUCAGUUGUGAAAGCCCAGGGCUUAACCUUGGAAUUGCAAUUGAAACUGGGAGUCUAGAGUAUGGGAGAGGGUAGUAGAAUUCCAGGUGUAGCGGUGAAAUGCGUAGAGAUCUGGAGGAAUACCGGUGGCGAAGGCG